GGCUGACAGCGCGCUCCCCGUGGAAGGCGGGACGGACGCCGACUUUCGUCUGCUGGGAGUUCACCGAGAGAGCGCACCAGCUCCCGCAGGGAUCCUCCCUCCCGCGCCUGCAGCUGGUCCUGCGGCUCCGCGCGGAAGGAGGAAGGCGAAUCCCCUCCCCUCGCGGGUAGUGCCACGUCCUCAGGCGGGGCAGCCAGGCCGCGCCACUAGCGGCAGCCCUUAUUUCGGGGGCGGGAUGGGUCGAAGAAAAGACCUAGCUUCUCCGAGCACCACUGCAGUGUCAGAAGUGCCGCUCUCCGCGCCGUGAGGGCUGGGGAUUUCUCUGACUUCAGGGAGUAGCCCGUCUUACUCAACACUGUGCAGUUGUAUAUGAGCCUUAAAGUCAGAAGAAAUUAAACAACAAUCUUUGGAAUCUAUAGUGAUCUACAAAGAGGCAAGUAGUUAUUGGACUCACCCUACUGAGAGACCACCUACUAGGACACUGCCCUGCCUUACGUAUUGUUCUAAUGAACAGCAAAGAUUCAAAGGUCCAUAAAAGAGCAAAUUAAGACAUUAAUCAAGCCUCUCUUUUGACUGUCAAUGCAAGCCACAAUUUCCUACUGUGAAAAAUGCUAAUGAAACAAAGUAA
Molecule: long non-coding RNA, 628 nt
Organism: Pteronotus mesoamericanus
Lineage: Eukaryota; Metazoa; Chordata; Mammalia; Chiroptera; Mormoopidae
Exons: 3
Source: RefSeq, a predicted model, not a curated record